GAGCCGGUAGCUCAGCUGGUAGAGCAACUGACUUUUAAUCAGUAGGUCCAGGGUUCGAACCCCUGCCGGCUCACCA
Molecule: transfer RNA, 76 nt
Filed under: Roseovarius lutimaris
Lineage: Bacteria; Pseudomonadati; Pseudomonadota; Alphaproteobacteria; Rhodobacterales; Roseobacteraceae
Also listed under: 10 other names
Description: tRNA_Lys_TTT
Rfam family: tRNA
About the family: Transfer RNA (tRNA) molecules are approximately 80 nucleotides in length. Their secondary structure includes four short double-helical elements and three loops (D, anti-codon, and T loops). Further hydrogen bonds mediate the characteristic L-shaped molecular structure. tRNAs have two regions of fundamental functional importance: the anti-codon, which is responsible for specific mRNA codon recognition, and the 3' end, to which the tRNAs corresponding amino acid is attached (by aminoacyl-tRNA synthetases). tRNAs cope with the degeneracy of the genetic code in two manners: having more than one tRNA (with a specific anti-codon) for a particular amino acid; and 'wobble' base-pairing, i.e. permitting non-standard base-pairing at the 3rd anti-codon position.
Source: RNAcentral